UUUUAAUGUCUUUGCUUGAUGAUUUUUACAUUUUUGGAACCCCUAAAGCAUGAGCUUUCAUAAGAGGGGAUUAUUUUGCAAAAUGAUGAAGAGUCUAGGGUUUUACCAUGAGAGUAAAUGUGUUGUUUUCUGUGUUUUUAUGGAAGAUUAUGAGUCCUAGUUGUCUAAUAAACAACUUUUGUGAAAGAAAUUGCAUGAAAAUACCUUAAAAAGGGCU
Molecule: long non-coding RNA, 217 nt
Filed under: Gossypium barbadense (sea-island cotton)
Lineage: Eukaryota; Viridiplantae; Streptophyta; Magnoliopsida; Malvales; Malvaceae
Description: long non-coding RNA (GBAR_LNC013055)
Source: RNAcentral